UGGGGAAUAUUGCACAAUGGGGGAAACCCUGAUGCAGCGACGCCGCGUGAGCGAUGAAGGCUUUCGAGUCGUAAAGCUCUGUCCUAUGGGAAGAUAAUGACGGUACCAUAGAAGAAACCCCCGGCUCAUUACGUGCCAGCAGCCGCGGUAAUACGUAGGUGGCAAGCGUUGUCCGGAAUUAUUGGGCGUCACGCGCGCGCAGGUGGUUUAGACAGUCUGAUGUGAAAGCCCACGGCGCAACCGUGGAGGGUCAUUGGAAACUAAUAAACUGGAGUGCAGGAGAGAAAGGUGGGAUUCCUAGUGUAGCGGUGAAAUGCGUAGAGAUUGAGGAGAACACCGGUGGCGAGAGCGGCUUGUUGGCCUGCAACAGACACUGAGGCGCGAAAGCGUGGGGAGCAAACAGG
Molecule: ribosomal RNA, 404 nt
Filed under: Verrucomicrobiota bacterium
Lineage: Bacteria; Pseudomonadati; Verrucomicrobiota
Description: Verrucomicrobia bacterium partial 16S ribosomal RNA
Rfam family: Bacterial small subunit ribosomal RNA
Source: RNAcentral